RNAcentral lists this ribosomal RNA (512 nucleotides) under Halomonas sp. ALS9. RNAcentral describes it as "bacterial LSU rRNA". It matches the Rfam family "Bacterial large subunit ribosomal RNA", at positions 1432 to 1928 of the family's 2925-position model. The record is from RNAcentral. Lineage: Bacteria; Pseudomonadati; Pseudomonadota; Gammaproteobacteria; Oceanospirillales; Halomonadaceae.
AAUAUUCCCGUACCGGACAUGAUUGCGAUGGGGGGACGGAGAAGGCUAGGUGAGCCAGGCGUUGGUAGCCCUGGUGAAAGUGAGUAGGCCGAGGUUCUAGGAAAAUCCGGAACCUUAAAGCCGAGACACGAGAUGAACUGACCACGGUCAGGAAGUCACUGAUGCCACGCUUCCAGGAAAAGCCUCUAAGCUUCAGAUCAUGUGCGACCGUACCCCAAACCGACACAGGUGGUCAGGGUGAGAAUCCCAAGGCGCUUGAGAGAACUCGGGUGAAGGAACUAGGCAAAAUGGUGCCGUAACUUCGGGAGAAGGCACGCCGGCGUAGGGUGAUGAGACUUGCUCUCUAAGCCCGAACCGGUCGAAGAUACCAGGUGGCUGCAACUGUUUAUUAAAAACACAGCACUCUGCUAACGCGCAAGCGGACGUAUAGGGUGUGACGCCUGCCCGGUGCCGGAAGGUUAAAUGAUGGUGUUAGCCGCAAGGCGAAGCUCUUGAUUGAAGCCCCGGUAAAC